Molecule: transfer RNA, 73 nt
Filed under: Bos taurus (domestic cattle)
Lineage: Eukaryota; Metazoa; Chordata; Mammalia; Artiodactyla; Bovidae
Also listed under: 2 other names
Rfam family: tRNA
About the family: Transfer RNA (tRNA) molecules are approximately 80 nucleotides in length.
Source: Rfam by way of RNAcentral
UCCCUGGUGGUCCCAUGGCUAAGACUCUGCGCUCCCAAGGCAGGAGGCCUGGGUUCGAUCCCUGGUCGGGGAA